GGAAGGGAGGAAGCGUAGAAGGUGCCGAUGCACUUUUCCUCUCUCCAGCCCUCCUGACUGCUCCAAGAAUUUCAUCGAACAAGACUCAAAGAGGCCCAGCUGCUCUGCGUUUUGAUUCUUCUCCCUCUCUCAGUCCACACUGACCUGGGAGGGGCUUCUCAAACACCACAUUUCCUAGCGUGCUGUGAGAAGAGGACUGUGAGCUAAGAAGGGAGAAAAGCCAAAUAAAAAUACAGACAAACCAACCAACCAAGCACUGACGAGCCAGUAAAGAGGGAACUGUCGGGGAAUCAGGGCUGAGAGAAUCUCUGAUACAGCAGCGGAAAUAGGCACUCCCUCCUCAUCAACAAACACCUGACCUGGGUAGACCCUCUGCUUACCAAGAUCCAGUCCACCUUUUGACAUCAGCAUUCAUGCUGCCUCUUUUUACGAACCAAGCCAAAGUGGUCCCUUCCUCUGGAAAUUAUAGGAUACUUAAUGUACAUCAUAUCCAGGUGGGCGGUUCUCCACUGGCUACAAACAUCCAGCUUUGACUGUCUGACCCAGCCCCCUUUCCAGCCUCCAGUCCUACCACGGCACCUGACACCGGCUACAUCAAACUCCUGGAGCAACCAGAACUCAAGGCCCUUUUU
Homo sapiens (human) is the source of this 632-nucleotide long non-coding RNA. NCBI's taxonomy places the organism in Eukaryota, Metazoa, Chordata, Mammalia, Primates, Hominidae. The record is from Ensembl.